RNAcentral lists this long non-coding RNA (425 nucleotides) under Setaria italica (foxtail millet). RNAcentral's name for it is "long non-coding RNA (SITA_LNC003604)". The record is from RNAcentral. Lineage: Eukaryota; Viridiplantae; Streptophyta; Magnoliopsida; Poales; Poaceae.
UAAGACGUUGAUGCUGAAACAAAGAAGGAAUGAGGGGGGAUAUCUUUUUCCUUAGGGUCUAAGAAAGAAAGGAAGGUAGAGGUCAAAGACUUCACCUGGUUAACAGAGGAAGAAGAAGACGACGAGGCCAUGGCAGAGAAAUUGCGCCGAUGAGAAGGGGCAGAAAAGUUAAACUGAGGGCCAAGAUUGGUGCUACCAGGAGUAAGCGCCGAGGUUGGUAUUUAUAAAAGAAUGCGUGGAAAUCUGGUAAAGCUACGUCCCAUCGGUAAUAAGAAGGCAAUAAAUAGAAAGGACGUCGCGAGGGGCGGUCAAAGAAGAUAGUAAAUGAUUCGUACAAAACGGUCAGUGUUUUUACAGAUUACCCAGAAGGGUAUCGAUAGUCGUGAUGGCCCGGCGCCGGAUCUGAUCGGCAGAGUCAAGAAUCC